CUUUACCCUGUUUCAAAAAAGCCUCAGAUUUAUAAGUUUCGUUUUGCUUAAUUCAAUCAAUAGAAUCAACAUGUUACCUGUGUCCUAUUCCUGGCACACGAAUCCCCUUUUUCUUCAUACCUUCAACAAACUCAUAAGGAAAACACUGAUCAUACAUACACUGUCAUGAGCAUCCUUAAAGUAGCGAGCAGCAUCAUCAAUGGCACCCCCAAAUCGAGGACCAAUCAUUAAAGGCAUGCAUGCAUGCUUGUAUGUAUGAUGAAUUUACCUGAUACAAGACAGGAAAUUAGGUCCUUCCCUGCCCUCGCUGUCACGAUAGUAUUAUGAGCUCCGGAGGCACAAGGACCAUGGUCGGCACAUAGCAUUAUGCACAUCUGACCAAUGUAAUGUAUCAUCAAGAUUCAAGUUUCAAAAGUUUGAUAUGAUGUGGGAACAACAGCUCCAGCGUCCUUUAGUGCCUGAUUCUUUGCUCGAGCAAACUCCAACUCACAACCACUUUUAUCUCCCUGAUUAUUAUGCAAGAGCCAUUGGACACUAAGAAUGUU
Vigna angularis (adzuki bean) is the source of this 545-nucleotide long non-coding RNA. RefSeq lists it as uncharacterized. The record is from RefSeq and is a predicted model, not a curated record. Lineage: Eukaryota; Viridiplantae; Streptophyta; Magnoliopsida; Fabales; Fabaceae. The transcript is spliced from 4 exons.